This is a non-coding RNA of Monodelphis domestica (gray short-tailed opossum), 4018 nucleotides long. The record is from RefSeq and is a predicted model, not a curated record. Lineage: Eukaryota; Metazoa; Chordata; Mammalia; Didelphimorphia; Didelphidae.
AGACCUAUUUCCAUAUUAUUAAUAUUUGCAUUAGGGUGACCAUUUAGACUCUACAUCCCCAGUCAUAUCCCCAUGGAACCAUGUGAUCAAGCAGUUGUUUUUCUUCUACACUUCUACUCCCACAGUUCUUCUAAGUCCCUCUGAAUUGUCCUGGAUCAUUGCAUUGCUGCUAGUAGAGAAGUCCAUUAUGUUUGAUUGUGCCAUAAUGUGUCAGUCUCUGUGUACAAUGUUCUCCUGGUUCUGCUGCUUUCACUCUGCAUCACUUCUUGGAGGUCUUUCCAGUUCACAUGGAAUCCCUCCAGUUCAUUAUUCCUUUGAGCACAAUAGUAUUCCAUCACCAACAGAUAACACAAUUUGUUCAGCCAUUGCCCAAUUGACGGGCAGCCCCUCAUUUUCCAAUUUUUGGCCACCACAAAGAGCAAAGCUAUGAAUAUUCUUGUACAAGUCUUUUUCCUUAUUAUCUCUUUGGGGUACAAACCCAGCAGUGGCAUGGCUGGAUCAAAGGACAGUCUUUUAGCGCCCUUUGGGCAUAGUUCCAAAUAAUAACAAUAACUUUCUCAUCAGCCUUUCUACUUCAGGUCUCUCCUCACUCUUGUCCUUCAUUCAACUGCCAAAGUGAUCUCUCCUUAAAGCACAGAUCUAACCAUGUCACUCCCCUACUCAAAAAAUGUCAAUGGUUCUUGUUACCUAGGAGACCGGGAGUGUUAGAAGGAGCCUCAAAGAGAUGAGCCUGAGCUGGUCUCUAGUGAUGGGGGGAAGAGACUGGGUCUUAGGCAUUUAACUGGUGUCUACCCUACACAUAUGAAAGCUUCCCCCAUCCCCCAUGGAAUGGGAGGUUCAGAACAAUACCCCAACGACCAUGAAGGUGGCUGAAAUUAGAAGAUCCAAAUUCUCUCCUUCCCUCUCUUCUCUCCCUCUUCCUGGAGAUGAUUUGGGAUAUACAUGUCUUAUCAUGCAAAACAUACUUCCAUAUGGGUUCUCCUUAAGAGAACUUAGAGCUUGGUCCAACAUGGAAAAUACCAAGGUUAUCCAAUGCAUCCAGGGCCAUCACUAGUCCUUGAUUUGGACUUGGAUGAUUCUGGAAGAGCGAGUGAGGCUGAUGACUUUAUUCAACUGCCUCACUUCAAUCCACCUCGCAUACAACUCAAGACAUCAUCCCAUGAUGCCAUUGGUCCUCCUAGAAAAUGAAAGACAAACACAGUAAUCCCAUCACAACCUGACCCUUUUCUACUUUCUAAUCUCUGUAUAUUUUAUUCCUUCCACGUAUUCUUCAAUCCAAUGAUACUGUUCCCUUUGCUAUUCCUCACACACAAUACUCUACCCAAAUAUUUUCACUGUCUGUGCCCCAUGUCUGGAAUGCUCUUUCCCCUUCUAAUCUCCACUUCCUGUCUUCAAGCCUCAACUAAAAUUCUACCUUCUACCAGAAGCCUUCUCCAGAUCCCCUUAAUUCUAGUGCCUUCCCUCUCUUGGCUACGUCCAUUUUACCCCGUACAGAGCUUGUAUGUACAAAGUUAUUUGUGUGUUCUCUCCCCCAUUACAAGAUGAGCCUCUAGAGAGCAAGGACUGUCUUUUGCCUUUCUAUGUAUCUCCAGCACUUAGAGUAGGGUUGACUGACUGAUGCAGUUCACCCCAAGUCCUCCAGUGUAAAUCUUGAAAUCUCUCAGACUUGUGAAUGUUAAAAAUUUCCCCAUCAGGGAAUUCUUAAUUGGAACAAAUUCCCUACUGAGAAACAUUCCCCAUUUUGAUGUGAGAACUCGCCAGGAUCAGAAAUGGGAGGACCUCUACUCCAACCGUACUUAAGACUGCUUUAGGGGAGAAAACUCCUUGCUAUGGGAGGACCCCUACUCUACCCGUACUUAAGACUGCUUUAGGAGAGAAAACUCCUUGCUAAACAAUGAAAGUACUUGGACCCAUGCUUAUAAUAAGGCAAGGAGUUCUUUGAGCCAGGCCCGUUUUUAGAAUUGAUACAAUGGGAUGCUAGGUACCUAAAAGGGUCGGGCAAGUUUUCUCUUGAUGAGAUUAGUUGACUCAGCUGUGUUUUCUCUAGUUCAGACUUACUGAGGAGAUUUGGUCAACACAGCAACAUUUUUUUCUGAUUCAGACUUACUGAGGAGAUUGGUCGACUUAGCAAGAAUUUAGAUGGGCAGUCCUUUGGAAAGCAUCUACAGUGAUUGGUAGAUGUAGGGACUUAGGGGAGGUGACAUGGGAGGAAAAACCCCUAUAUAAGAAAAAGCAGAAUCUCUUGAGGAGAUAUCCUUUUGGAGAUAUCCUUUUGGAGAAAUCCUUUUGGAGGAUCUCUGAUGAGGACUGCUUGGGAAGAAUCUCUUGAGAGAGGCUCUGGAGAAGGGAAGCUCUUGGAGGACAAUCUCUAAGGAGGUCUCGCUGGAGCUCCUUUAAGGGGACUCUGUCCCUCUGGAGGCUCUGGAGAAAGGCCCUUUGGAACAGUCUCUGGCUGGAAGGCUCUCUGGUGAACUCGGCUGAGAUGGAGCUGGCCUGGUGUCACUAGAAUCUUUGUUUAGGCAGACCUUGUGGUGAAUGUUAAAAGACUGACUGACUGAUUCUCUCUCUUAAGACUCAGGUCUAGGCCAUAUUGGCUUGAGGCCCUUCAUAAUUAUUCCUUUCCUACCCUUUCUCUAAUUCCUCAUAUUAUUAAUUAAAAAUCUUUAUAAAACCCAGUUGACUUGGGUAUUUGAAUAAUUAGGAAUAUUUCCUUGGCGACCACCUUAUAUUUGAUUUAAAAACUAAGACACUGUAGUGAAACAUAUUUUCUGCGGUCAAAUUUACUCACCCUCUCUUAUAUCUAUCACAAUUUAUAUCUUCCACCAUUUUAACUCACUACAGUUUAAGACCUCAACCAUUUUAAAUCUAACACCAGUCACCACUGAAUUCUCAUACUGGUCUCUCCAUAUUGUUUUCUUUUGUAAUCAUCAGGUGUAUCCUUUUCCUGAUCCUACUUAAUUCACUUUGCAUCAGUUCAUACAAGAGUUGUCAGAUUUCUCAGAAUUCUUCACAUAAGUCAUUCUUAGACCUUCAUAUCAUCCCACAGCAGUCAGGCACCACCAAUUUUGUCCAGCCAUUCCCCAGUUGAUGGACACCCACUUUCUAACUUUGCUACCAAAAACCAUAGGGUCAUAGGAGGAUAGAUUUAGAUUUGGAAAAGAUUUUAAAGGCCCUUUUCAAAUUGGGAAACUGAGGUCAGAGAGAAGAAACUAUUUGCCCAAAUUCUCAUAGUAGGUGACUCUGGGAUCUUUUCCUCUGACUUGGUCCUUCUUGAGGUAGAUGCCUCACUCUGUGUAACAUCCACCCAUCAAUCCUAGUUCUGCCCUCUUCUGGGCCAAGUAGAUGAAGUCUGAUGCCCCUUGGCACAUGCUCCAGACAGCUGUGCUAGAAAAAGCCUCAAAGAGAUGGGCUAACCUGAGCCCUCCAGUGAUGGGGGGAGGAGAUUGGGUCUCACAGUAAGAGGAAAUGCAGUCAUUCGUUUUGUGGGUUUCACUUGUUCUUGUCUCUGAGCUCAGACUUCCUCUUGCCCACACUUUCUCAUGCACUCCUGACCCAGUGACAAGGUUCCCAGUGUCCCCAGCAGGGCCCAGCUUCCCAGGAAUCCUUGUUCUCCAGGGCAGAAGAUGGGUUGUUGCAGCCUGACAGGCCGGGGUGGUGGGGAUUCCUUGGAGAGAGGCCAGGAAGAGACAGAACUGCUGACAUGGGGAAGCAGCAGGAAAUGGUCAGUCUCUCUAACUAGAGAGGAAAGACCUACUCAUCCCCAGGGUCCCUCAGCUGACCAAGGAGACGGACGAAUGACUGACAUUGGACGGCUCUUCCAGGAAGUUCUUCAGUCUCUGGACCCCAAGGCGAGUGUUUGAAAUGGGAGGGUGAGGAGGAGGGAGAAAAGGGCUGGGAAUGAAGCCGUCCCACCUUGAGUCUAGCUAAGGGAUCACACCUUACUCAGCCCCAGUGUGUAAAGAACUAGACACCAGAAAACUGGAAAUCGGGAGGGUAAAUGGGGCAGAAACCCUCAAAG